This 318-nucleotide ribosomal RNA is filed under the name uncultured soil bacterium. RNAcentral describes it as "bacterial SSU rRNA". It matches the Rfam family "Bacterial small subunit ribosomal RNA", at positions 26 to 345 of the family's 1533-position model. The record is from RNAcentral.
AGAUUGAACGCUGGCGGCAUGCCUUACACAUGCAAGUCGAACGGCAGCACGGGAGCAAUCCUGGUGGCGAGUGGCGAACGGGUGAGUAAUAUAUCGGAACGUGCCCAGUAAUGGGGGAUAGCCCGGCGAAAGCCGGAUUAAUACCGCAUACGACCUACGGGUGAAAGCGGGGGAUCGCAAGACCUCGCGUUAUUGGAGCGGCCGAUAUCAGAUUAGCUUGUUGGUGGGUAAAAGCCCACCAAGGCGACGAUCUGUAGCUGGUCUGAGAGGACGACCAGCCACACUGGGACUGAGACACGGCCCACGACUCCGUACGGG